RNAcentral lists this ribosomal RNA (424 nucleotides) under uncultured bacterium. Its description in RNAcentral is "bacterial SSU rRNA". It matches the Rfam family "Bacterial small subunit ribosomal RNA", at positions 355 to 776 of the family's 1533-position model. The record is from RNAcentral.
UCGAGAAUCAUUCGCAAUGGACGAAAGUCUGACGGUGCGACGCCGCGUGGGGGAUGAAGGCCUUAGGGUCGUAAACCCCUGUCGGGUGCGAGUAAGGGUAUACAUUACGGCAUACUUUGAUAUUAGCACCAAAGGAAGGGACGGCUAACUCCGUGCCAGCAGCCGCGGUAAUACGGAGGUCCCAAGCGUUGUUCGGAUUCACUGGGCGUAAAGCGUGCGUAGGCGGAGAGAUAAGUUUGGCGUGAAAGCCCCGGGCCCAACCCGGAAAUUGCGCUGAAAACUAUCUCCCUAGAGGAUUGGAGAGGAGACUGGAAUUCCUGGUGUAGCAGUGAAAUGCGUAGAUAUCAGGAGGAACACCGGUGGCGAAGGCGAGUCUCUGGACAAUUCCUGACGCUGAGGUACGAAGGCUAGGGUAGCGAAAAGG